GGCCCUAAGAAUGAGUGUCUAGACAAUGUCUCUUGCUUGGGAAGAGGUAAACUAACAGAUAGUUUCUGCAAAGGCUUGUCAAUCUGCGCGGAGUUUGGAGAUGAAGNNNNUGAUUGUUGCCGUACUUCCAUGAAGAUUGGGGUGCCACAACAGAGGGCCGCUUAAUGUUGAUGCUUGAGUAAGAAGCUUUCUUAACAGAGGGCCAUUUUGAAGAAGAAGGCUCAGAACCAUAUAAAGUCCUUUCUGGGUCAUCAAGUUCAAGUAGUUGAGUUCUAGCAUAAGCUUUGUUCAGCUCGUCAACUUGACGUUGGAAUUCUGGCUUCAAAGCUUCAAGCUCAUCCAAUACAGUAAACAAUCUCUUCCUAUAAGCUGCUCUUUCCUUUGGAAGCAAAACCUGAUAAUCUCG
RNAcentral lists this unclassified non-coding RNA (406 nucleotides) under Hevea brasiliensis (rubber tree). Lineage: Eukaryota; Viridiplantae; Streptophyta; Magnoliopsida; Malpighiales; Euphorbiaceae. The record is from RNAcentral.